This 427-nucleotide long non-coding RNA is filed under the name Jatropha curcas. RNAcentral's name for it is "long non-coding RNA (JCUR_LNC002835)". The record is from RNAcentral. Lineage: Eukaryota; Viridiplantae; Streptophyta; Magnoliopsida; Malpighiales; Euphorbiaceae.
AGCAUUGAGAAGGCUGUGCAGAACUGGAUCCAAUUAGAGGGUGACCGCUUCAGAUUCCCUGGGGGAGGCACCAUGUUCCCACGCGGAGCUGAUGCUUACAUUGAUGACAUAAAUGAGCUCAUUCCUCUUACUGGCGGAACCAUCAGAACUGCUAUUGAUACAGGCUGUGGUGUAAGUAUAUGUAUAUAUGUAUAUAUAUCCUUAAGAAUUUAGUAUAGCAUUUACAUUUAGAAUCCCAAACAGACUUACAGUAUGCAAUUGAAGGUUGCAAGUUGGGGUGCCUACCUGUUGAAGAGGGAGAUCUUGGCGAUGUCUUUUGCACCACGGGAUACACAUGAAGCACAAGUCCAGUUUGCAUUAGAGAGGGGAGUUCCUGCUAUGAUUGGCAUUAUGGCUUCACAAAGGCUUCCUUACCCGGCCAGGGCUU